CACUGUGGCCAUACCACCUUUGCGAUGCCCAAUUCCGUCAGACCUUGGAAGCUAAGCAGGGUAGGGCCUGGUUAGUACUUGGAUGGGAGACCGUUCAGUAACACCAGGAAGCCUAGUGA
Molecule: ribosomal RNA, 119 nt
Filed under: Neogobius melanostomus (round goby)
Lineage: Eukaryota; Metazoa; Chordata; Actinopteri; Gobiiformes; Gobiidae
Source: RNAcentral